AACGAACGCUGGCGGCAGGCUUAACACAUGCAAGUCGAACGAGAUCUUCGGAUCUAGUGGCAGACGGGUGAGGAACACGUGGGAACAUCCCUUUCAGUUCGGAAUAACGUUGGGAAACUAACGCUAAUACCGGAUACGUCCUUCGGGAGAAAGAUUUACCGCUGAAAGAUUGGCCCGCGUCUGAUUAGCUAGUUGGUGAGGUAAUGGCUCACCAAGGCUACGAUCAGUAGCUGAUCUGAGAGGAUGAUCAGCCACGUUGGGACUGAGACACGGCCCAAACUCCUACGGGAGGCAGCAGUGGGGAAUAUUGGACAAUGGGCGCAAGCCUGAUCCAGCCAUGCCGCGUGAGUGAUGACGGCCUUCGGGUUGUAAAGCUCUUUUGUCCGGGAAGAUAAUGACUGUACCGGAAGAAUAAGCCCCGGCAAACUUCGUGCCAGCCGCCGCAGUAA
RNAcentral lists this ribosomal RNA (449 nucleotides) under uncultured bacterium. RNAcentral describes it as "partial 16S ribosomal RNA". It matches the Rfam family "Bacterial small subunit ribosomal RNA", at positions 29 to 523 of the family's 1533-position model. The record is from RNAcentral.